GCUUUACACAUGCAAGUCGAACGGCAGCACGGGGGCAACCCUGGUGGCGAGUGGCGAACGGGUGAGUAAUGCAUCGGAACGUGUCCUGUAAUGGGGGAUAACCUAUCGAAAGGUAGGCUAAUACCGCAUACGUCCUGAGGGAGAAAGCGGGGGCUCGCAAGACCUCGUGUUAUAGGAGCGGCCGAUGUCGGAUUAGCUASUUGGUGGGGUAAAGGCCUACCAAGGCGACGAUCCGUAGCUGGUCUGAGAGGAUGAUCAGCCACACUGGGACUGAGACACGGCCCAGACUCCUACGGGAGGCAGCAGUGGGGAAUUUUGGACAAUGGGCGCAAGCCUGAUCCAGCAAUGCCGCGUGCGGGAAGAAGGCCUUCGGGUUGUAAACCGCUUUUGUCAGGGAAGAAAUCUCCUGGGCUAAUACCUCGGGGGGAUGACGGUACCUGAAGAAUAAGCACCGGCUAACUACGUGCCAGCAGCCGCGGUAAUACGUAGGGUGCAAGCGUUAAUCGGAAUUA
This 512-nucleotide ribosomal RNA is filed under the name uncultured Burkholderiales bacterium. RNAcentral describes it as "bacterial SSU rRNA". It matches the Rfam family "Bacterial small subunit ribosomal RNA", at positions 46 to 553 of the family's 1533-position model. The record is from RNAcentral. Lineage: Bacteria; Pseudomonadati; Pseudomonadota; Betaproteobacteria; Burkholderiales.